Molecule: long non-coding RNA, 2968 nt
Filed under: Rattus norvegicus (Norway rat)
Lineage: Eukaryota; Metazoa; Chordata; Mammalia; Rodentia; Muridae
Description: long non-coding RNA NONRATT028302
Source: RNAcentral
UCUAACUUCCACACAAAAUGCUAGAAUACAGAUCUGCUUGGUUCAAGAUCACUACAUGGCACUGGUUGGUUUUCUUCCUGUUCUAAUCACAUGUUCCUUCUUCCUAACUAAGGGAGUCCUUACCAGAAUAGCCUCUACCUGUCACUCAGCUUCAAGGCUACUUGCAUGUGUUUAACUGCUAUUUUUACAGCAGUGCCACAAAACACUAUAGCCAGUGCUGGCAAAAUGGCUCAGAAGGUAAAGGUGCUUGUGAGCAGGAACUGAGUUUGAUCCCAGGAACACUCAUAGUCAGAGGAGAGCAGAGUGCUACACAGCCUCUGCUUCUAGACACAUACCACAGCUGCACACGCUUGUACACACCGUACAGAUAACACACAACAGCAUAAACCAAGUUGCUUUGAAGUUCCCUUCUAAAGAAAUGAAAUUUUAGGUUAGCAUAGUAUUGGGUUUUAUUAUGGCGUUGUCAUAUCUAUAGACCAUUAUACUUCUCAUUAGCUUACCACUUUUGGAUAAAACCUUAGGGCUGCGGGUUCCGCUCGGUGGUGGUAGUUCUUGCCUGGCAUGUGAAUAGCUAGUUUUUAUCUCCAUCAGUGGACAGACCGUAUACAGCAAUCUAUUUUCUCACACAAGAAUAGCAGCAUGGGAGUUAGUGAGAGGAUGGUUCAGAGGGCGAAGCUCUUGCCCUGCAAACACAAGGACCAGAGUUCGUUUUCUCAGAACCCAUUUAAGUGCCAUGGAGGCCACCUGUAAUCCCAGAGCCUGGGAAGUUAGACGGGAAUCCUCAGGCGAUUGGGGAGUUAGGUUACUUGACUCUACGAGCUUCGGGUUCAGCAACAGACCCUGCUUCAGUACACGAAAUGGGAAGUGACUGGGAAAGCUGGCAUUACCUUCUGGAUUCUGCAUGCCACGUGCAGAUGCGGGAACACCAACACGCACACGCACACACACGUGAAAACAGGAACGGCAUGUUUGGCGGCUUUCGGAGUAGACUCUUCAUGGCAUGCAGUCGCUUUCACAUGACAGAGCCUGAAAAUGAGGGUUUUUUUAUCCUCUUCUGAUAAAAACCACAGCAUUGUGGGAUGAGGUUUCCCCUCAUUGUCCUGGACUAUCAGAUGAAAUUCUAAAGACCCGAUCUGAACAGUCAUGCCGAGGGUUAGAUUUAAUAUGAAUUUGAGAGGGUCAUAGAUUCUUUUGGGCCCCCAGACAGGUAAUCCUAUUUGUAGAUAAUGAUUUUUUUUUCUAUUUUAGUUGUUUCCUUACAUAAAUUAGUAUGAUGUCCAGCACACUAGUGAAAGUAGUUAAAGCAUAUUUUUCUUUAGAAUUAUAAUGAGGUAUGCUUUCCAUUAUACUGAUUUGCUUAUUAGGAUAGAGGGUUGUUUUAAUAUCUGGAUUUUUACAUAAUGGUUUUAUAGUCUUUCUUUAUUUGUGAGGCAAAAUUCCCCUUUGAUUUAUUAAUUGCUUUCCCUGUAUCCUCUGAGAUGACCACGCUCAUUUGCAUUCAAGUACCUAGGAUUUCAUUGUUUCAAAUAGUAAAUACUGGAAUGAUUAAAGGACUCUAAAAUAAAGGCAGUCAUUUUAUCAAAGAUUGUAUAUUAGUUGCCUGAUGUUAAUUUUAAGUUCUUAGAUGCCUUCAACUUGGCCAUUACGGUUCAUUUUUGUUCUGUGGGACUGCUGAGGAUGGAACCGACCCGGAUGAGGCAGCCCUCUGCCACCGAGCGGUCUGUAAUCUUGAGCCGAAUGGAUCGUUUCUACUACUUAACGUUGCUUAUGCUUACUCACAUGAAGAUUGUCAUAGAUAUUCUCAAGUAACGAUGGCAUACAAGUUUUCCUUAUAUGUAAGAAGAAAUGGCGCAGGGGUAGGAAGAGUGCGCCUGUUCAGCAGUGCACAGGACUGUCUGUGGUCUCAGUCCUCAGUGCCACCAAAACAGCCAGACUAAAAUGAACUGACUGGCUCUUAGCUGUAGAUUAGAACCGUGUCAUUUACUGCCGUGAAUAUAUUCCUCUCCUUUCCCAAAUUAUAAACCUGUUCAGUUAUCCUGAUCUAGAUUAAUUGAUACUGUUUUAGGUACCCAUUUUCUAUUACCAUAAACUGCACAGCAUCUUAUGUGUAUGGGACACCUAAGAUUUACAAUAUCAUUUAAAUUUUUUCGAGUAUAUUUUUCUAGGCAUGCUUUCAUUUUCACAUUUGAAAUUUAUUUUUUUUCUUGUAUUCCUGAUGUUUCCUGGUUGUAUAAUUAAUUUACUUUGGGUCUGCCUUGCAUUCUGCAAUGAUUUCUUGUAAUUAAAUUGAGUUAAUCUUCAACCAGUAUUCUUUUGGAGAGUAUUUGUCUCAAACUACAGCAUGUUGCCUCACACUAAUCUUAGGGACUGGGAAGCCAAGGCAGGAGGGUCACAGAUUUAAGGGUAGCCCAAACCUGGGCUACCUUGUGGACACUGUCUUAAAAAGACAAACAUGAAAAAUAAGACAAGACAAAUGUUCCCAAAGGAGGAGUUGGGGCCUGGUAGAUAAUUUGGGAGGGAAAAAAUUUGUCUUGAAAUAUUUAAACUUUCCAAUAUAGUUUUUAUUCCGUUGACUCUGGCAGGUAUUGACAUGGCUAGAUAGUUUAAUUUUUGUAUCCUUGGUUAAAAAAAAUUUAGGGGUGGGGUGCUAGGAUUCAAACUGAGGGCUUUACACAUGCUAACCACUGACCUAUAACCCAGGUGUAGAUGUGUCUUUUAUAUAUACCUUAGUUAGAGUUUUAAAACUCUGAUUACUUGAAAGAUCCUAAUUAACAAUUCUUUUAGACCAUUAUGUAUAAUGCAAUUAGUAACAAAAUUGGAUUUUUAGCAACUUUUUUCUUCUGUAUUUGUUGCAUGUACCUUUUCUGUAAUGAUGUUUUUCACUGAAAUUUCACCCAGUGCUUGGAUUUGUGUAUUCCAUUUAUCUUUUAGUUGCUAUUCUAAACCAUUAAAUCCAGUUUUAAAAUAG